UUAUUGCAGCUGAGGCUAGUGAAUUUCUGUACUAUACAUAUAACCUGGUCAUGCAUUUUUCUUUCUUUUUUUUUUCCUAGUCUAGGAGGAUGUUUACAUGGCUCCUGUACUGGUCACAUAGAAAUCUUUCCUACUGAUUACCUCUUCUCUGUGAUUGGACAGGUGGAGGGUAGAACAACUCCUCCCAAAGCCAACUUUUCAAAAAGUAUUGUGAACUUUCCAGAGAACUCUCCAUUUUCUAUUAGCAGCUCCACUUCUACGGAGUUUCAACUCCAGGAAACAUCAUAUGCUGGGAAGGAAGAAAACAAAGGAAGAAAGGAAGGAAUAAAAGAA
This is a long non-coding RNA of Sarcophilus harrisii (Tasmanian devil), 333 nucleotides long. RefSeq lists it as uncharacterized. The transcript is spliced from 3 exons. The record is from RefSeq and is a predicted model, not a curated record. NCBI's taxonomy places the organism in Eukaryota, Metazoa, Chordata, Mammalia, Dasyuromorphia, Dasyuridae.